RNAcentral lists this ribosomal RNA (918 nucleotides) under Phacographa protoparmeliae. RNAcentral's name for it is "SSU rRNA". It matches the Rfam family "Bacterial small subunit ribosomal RNA", at positions 373 to 1202 of the family's 1533-position model. Lineage: Eukaryota; Fungi; Ascomycota; Arthoniomycetes; Arthoniales; Lecanographaceae. The record is from RNAcentral.
AAAGGAAACUUUAAGUGCUUUUUACCUUUAGUUUAGGUAAAAAGCAUGUUUUCGAGUGGUUUAUCCACAUAAAAUUCUAGAUAGAUAACUGAUAAUGACAAAUUUCUAUCUAAUAGUCUUGACUAAAUCACGUGCCAGCUGUCGCGGUAAUACGGGAAAGACAAGUGUUAUUCAUCUUUAUUAGGUUUAAAGGGUACCUAGACGGACAUAAGAACCCGAUCCUUUUUUGUAAUAAAUUGGCUGCAUGCAAUGAUGGUUUGUGUAAUACAGGAAUUACUAGCCUGUAUUUGCACAAUAACAGGGUAUAAUAAGCAUUGGUCAGCUUUGGAGUUUUCCAUUCUCCAACCCUCCUUUACUUGUAAUGUAUGGGUACAAAAAUCUAGAGUUUUAUCUGAGAGGUUAGUAUUAGUAUUAACAGAGUAGAGAUGAAAUUCUUUGAUACUGUCGGGCACUGAUAACGGCGAAGGCAACCCUUUAUGUAAAAACUGACGUUGAGGGACGAAGGCUUGGGUAGCAAACAGGAUUAGAUACCCUAAUAGUCCAGGCAGAAAAUGAUGAGUGCCAUAGACUAGAUUAUUUUUGGUCUAUAAAUGAAAGUGUAAGCAUUCCACCUCAAGAGUAAUGUGGCAACGCAGGAACUGAAAUCAUUAGACCGUUUCUGAAACCAGUAGUGAAGUAUGUUGUUCAAUUCGAUAAUCCACGAAAAACCUUACCACAAUUUGAAUAUUAUAGCGGAAUCUAUCACAUAUAUAAAUAUGCUAUUAAUACAGGUGUUGCACGGCUGUCUUUAGUUAAUGUCGUGAGAUGCAGGUUAGCUCCAAUAAAUUAACGUAAACCCUUGCUUUAUUUAUCAUUAUAAAGUAGUUCUCUGGCAUAUCGGAUAAGGUAACAGGGGUCAAGGCAAGUACUCGCGGCCCU